Molecule: non-coding RNA, 789 nt
Organism: Plutella xylostella (diamondback moth)
Lineage: Eukaryota; Metazoa; Arthropoda; Insecta; Lepidoptera; Plutellidae
Source: RefSeq, a predicted model, not a curated record
UUUUAUGCUUAGUAAUGAUGAAGCAAUCGAUUGAAUUGUGUGUUUCUGUGGUGUGUCUUGCUCAAUUGUUUAAUGCCAGUGGAUGGAAGUGGUAGUACCAGACUAACACUGGAUGGAAGUGUUAGUGAGUGCCGGAUGGAGGCACUGGAAUGACACCGGAUGGAGGUUGCCGGACAAGUGAGCAAGGACCAUUGGUAAUCAGAUCCUGAUCCGUGUUUUUGUUUAGUACAGAGUUAAAGAUAGUGGAUUAACUUUCGAGUAUUGAUUUGUCUUGUCUGAUACUGUUCAAGUUAAAGCUUCAUAGUUCAUCAGUGUGAUGAAUGCAGAGUUCAUGAGCCCACUGCUUUCUUCCCUGACUAGGUCAGGACUGGCCGAGUAAAAUUCAGUUACUGCGGUUGUUUUUCUUUCUUUCCAGAUAACUCACACGAGGACGUGUGAGAUGUCAUGAUGGCCGUGUCGCAGCGUUGGCAGACAAACGCCGCAUCGAUGUUGAUUUGAGCGUGUAAACGCGUCGUAAUCGAAUAAGAAACGUCAAGGGAUUUUCCUUGGGUAAGGUCGAUACAGCCCUGGCAACAUUUUAAAAAGUAAGAGGUCACGUGACGUUUAAAAAGUGAACCGGCCAUGCCGCCAUUCUGGAUUCUGAGCUUGGACGAGUUGGACGUGACACGGGAAACAGUGUGCUGUAUCGAACUUGCCGCGUUUCUAAAAGUAAUCCGUCUGCAUCAUCGCGAUCUUGCAUUGUUACAUUAAGUGUUGAUUGUAAUCUGAAUAAUCAAGAUACGAACUAUA